RNAcentral lists this ribosomal RNA (279 nucleotides) under uncultured bacterium. Its description in RNAcentral is "partial 16S ribosomal RNA". It matches the Rfam family "Bacterial small subunit ribosomal RNA", at positions 506 to 784 of the family's 1533-position model. The record is from RNAcentral.
UGCCAGCAGCCGCGGUAAUACAGAGGGUGCAAACGUUGCUCGGAAUUAUUGGGCGUAAAGCGCAUGUAGGCGGUCUUGUAAGUCGAUUGUGAAAGCCCAUGGCUCAACCAUGGAAGUGCAACCGAUACUGCAAGACUAGAGUCCCGGAGAGGGUGGCGGAACUCCCAGUGUAGAGGUGAAAUUCGUAGAUAUUGGGAAGAACACCGGUGGCGGAGGCAUCUCUCUGGGCCGAUAUUGACGCUGAGGCGCGAAGGCGUGGGUAGCGAACGGGAUUAGAUA